RNAcentral lists this ribosomal RNA (497 nucleotides) under uncultured bacterium. RNAcentral describes it as "partial 16S ribosomal RNA". It matches the Rfam family "Bacterial small subunit ribosomal RNA", at positions 28 to 507 of the family's 1533-position model. The record is from RNAcentral.
GAUGAACGCUGGCGGCGUGCCUAACACAUGCAAGUCGAGCGAACGGACGAGACGCUUGCUUCUCUGAUGUUAGCGGCGGACGGGUGAGUCACACGUGGCUAACCUACCUAUAAGAAUGGGAUAACGUAGGGAACCCGGAUCUAAUAUCCGAUAAUAGUUUGAACCUCAUGGUUCUACAGUGAAAGACCGACUUGCUGACACUUAUAGAUGGAUCCGCGCUGCAUUAGCUAGUUGGUAAGGUAACGGCCUACCAAGGCAACGAUGCAUAGCUGAUCUGAGAGGGUGAUCAGCCACACUGGAACUGAGACACGGUCCAGACUCCUACGGGAGGCAGCAGUGGGGAAUCUUCCGCAAUGGGCGAAAGCCUGACGGAGCAACGCCGCGUGAGUGAUGAAGGUCUUAGGAUCGUAAAACUCUGUUAUUAGGGAAGAACAGAUGUGUAAGUAACUGUGCACGUCUUGACGGUACCUAAUCAGAAAGCCACGGCUAACUACGUG